UACGGCCGCAUCAUGUAGAAGCAUCGAUUCCCGUUCGACCAAUGACGUUAAGCAACGUUGAAUCUGUUUAGUACCUUGAUGAGUGACUCCUUAGGAAUACCAGGUGCUGUAA
Acanthosepion pharaonis is the source of this 112-nucleotide non-coding RNA. NCBI's taxonomy places the organism in Eukaryota, Metazoa, Mollusca, Cephalopoda, Sepiida, Sepiidae. The record is from the annotation of a GenBank genome assembly.